UCCGAAGGGGGCUAGCGUUGUUCGGAAUCACUGGGCGUAAAGCGCACGUAGGCGGAUCGUUAAGUCGGGGGGUGAAAUCCUGGAGCUCAACCUCGGAACUGCGUCUGAAACUACUCGACUAGAGUACUGGAGAGGGUAACGGAAUUCACGGUGUAGCAGUGAAAUGCGUAGAUAUCGUGAGGAACACCAGAGGCGAAGGCGGUUACCUGGACAGUUACUGACGCUCAGGC
RNAcentral lists this ribosomal RNA (230 nucleotides) under uncultured bacterium. Its description in RNAcentral is "partial 16S ribosomal RNA". It matches the Rfam family "Bacterial small subunit ribosomal RNA", at positions 524 to 752 of the family's 1533-position model. The record is from RNAcentral.